Long non-coding RNA from Sinocyclocheilus rhinocerous, 213 nucleotides. RefSeq lists it as uncharacterized. The record is from RefSeq and is a predicted model, not a curated record. Lineage: Eukaryota; Metazoa; Chordata; Actinopteri; Cypriniformes; Cyprinidae. The transcript has 2 exons.
CUUUACAAUAAUAUUCAGACAGAGCUGAAGCGACUAAUCAGGACGUACCAACUUCAUAUUCAUGAUGAGAUUACUGUGAAAACAGGCGAGGAGCUAAAGAUGUCUGUUCUGUUGUCUAAUGCUGAUAAAGUGGAGAAAAGCUCUAGUGGAGAGUGGAGGGAGGUUUGGAGCAGAACUGAUGGGGUUCAGAGCGAUCGAAUGAAUGAAACUGAU